UAAGGAAUAUUGGACAAUGGACGCAAGUCUGAUCCAGCCAUGCCGCGUGAAGGAUGAAUGCCCUCUGGGUUGUAAACUUCUUUUAUAGGGGAAGAAAGAUACUUUUUUUAAGGUAGUUGACGGUACCCUAUGAAUAAGCACCGGCUAACUCCGUGCCAGCAGCCGCGGUAAUACGGAGGGUGCAAGCGUUAUCCGGAUUUACUGGGUUUAAAGGGUGCGUAGGCGGGCAUGUAAGUCAGUGGUGAAAUACCGGAGCUUAACUUCGGAACUGCCAUUGAUACUAUAUGUCUUGAAUAUUGUGGAGGUAAGCGGAAUAUGUCAUGUAGCGGUGAAAUGCAUAGAUAUGACAUAGAACACCGAUUGCGGAGGCAGCUUGCUACGCAAAUAUUGACGCUGAGGCACGAAAGCGUGGGGAUCAAAC
This 421-nucleotide ribosomal RNA is filed under the name uncultured bacterium. RNAcentral describes it as "bacterial SSU rRNA". It matches the Rfam family "Bacterial small subunit ribosomal RNA", at positions 355 to 773 of the family's 1533-position model. The record is from RNAcentral.